This 800-nucleotide ribosomal RNA is filed under the name Pseudomonas knackmussii. RNAcentral describes it as "bacterial SSU rRNA". It matches the Rfam family "Bacterial small subunit ribosomal RNA", at positions 57 to 853 of the family's 1533-position model. The record is from RNAcentral. Lineage: Bacteria; Pseudomonadati; Pseudomonadota; Gammaproteobacteria; Pseudomonadales; Pseudomonadaceae.
GCAGUCGAGCGGAUGAAGAGAGCUUGCUUUCUGAUUCAGCGGCGGACGGGUGAGUAAUGCCUAGGAAUCUGCCUGAUAGUGGGGGACAACGUUUCGAAAGGAACGCUAAUACCGCAUACGUCCUACGGGAGAAAGCAGGGGACCUUCGGGCCUUGCGCUAUCAGAUGAGCCUAGGUCGGAUUAGCUAGUUGGUGAGGUAACGGCUCACCAAGGCGACGAUCCGUAACUGGUCUGAGAGGAUGAUCAGUCACACUGGAACUGAGACACGGUCCAGACUCCUACGGGAGGCAGCAGUGGGGAAUAUUGGACAAUGGGCGAAAGCCUGAUCCAGCCAUGCCGCGUGUGUGAAGAAGGUCUUCGGAUUGUAAAGCACUUUAAGUUGGGAGGAAGGGCAUUAACCUAAUACGUUAGUGUUUUGACGUUACCGACAGAAUAAGCACCGGCUAACUUCGUGCCAGCAGCCGCGGUAAUACGAAGGGUGCAAGCGUUAAUCGGAAUUACUGGGCGUAAAGCGCGCGUAGGUGGUUUGUUAAGUUGAAUGUGAAAGCCCCGGGCUCAACCUGGGAACUGCAUCCAAAACUGGCAAGCUAGAGUAUGGCAGAGGGUGGUGGAAUUUCCUGUGUAGCGGUGAAAUGCGUAGAUAUAGGAAGGAACACCAGUGGCGAAGGCGACCACCUGGGCUAAUACUGACACUGAGGUGCGAAAGCGUGGGGAGCAAACAGGAUUAGAUACCCUGGUAGUCCACGCCGUAAACGAUGUCGACUAGCCGUUGGGAUCCUUGAGAUCUUAGUGGCGCAGCU